Molecule: small RNA, 127 nt
Filed under: Marmota monax (woodchuck)
Lineage: Eukaryota; Metazoa; Chordata; Mammalia; Rodentia; Sciuridae
Source: RNAcentral
GCUGGGUGCAGUGGCCCACACCUGUAAUCCCAGAGGCUCCAGAGGCUGAGGCAGGAGGAUCUUGAGUUCAAAGCCAGCCUCGGGAAUUUAGCAAGGCCCUAAGCAACUCAGUGAGACCCUGUCUCUA